CAGUCGCCGCGGGAACACGGAGGGAGCUAGCGUUGUUCGGAAUUACUGGGCGUAAAGCGUACGUAGGCGGCUACUCAAGUCGGGGGUGAAAGCCCGGGGCUCAACCCCGGAACUGCCCUCGAAACUAGGUAGCUAGAAUCUUGGAGAGGUCAGUGGAAUUCCGAGUGUAGAGGUGAAAUUCGUAGAUAUUCGGAAGAACACCAGUGGCGAAGGCGACUGACUGGACAAGUAUUGACGCUGAGGUGCGAAAGCGUGGGGAGCAAACAGGAUUAGAUACCCGCGUAGUCCCUGUCUCUUAUAC
This 301-nucleotide ribosomal RNA is filed under the name uncultured bacterium. RNAcentral describes it as "partial 16S ribosomal RNA". It matches the Rfam family "Bacterial small subunit ribosomal RNA", at positions 509 to 807 of the family's 1533-position model. The record is from RNAcentral.